AUACGGAGGGUCCGAGCGUUAUCCGGAAUCAUUGGGUUUAAAGGGUCCGUAGGCGGGAAUCUAAGUCAGUGGUGAAAUCUUGCAGCUCAACUGUAAAAUUGCCAUUGAUACUGGAUUUCUUGAAUUAGUGUGAAGUGGUUAGAAUGUGUAGUGUAGCGGUGAAAUGCAUAGAUAUUACACAGAAUACCAAUUGCGAAGGCAGAUCACUAACACUAUAUUGACGCUGAGGGACGAAAGCGUGGGGAGCGAACAGGAUUAGAUACCCCAGUAGUCC
Molecule: ribosomal RNA, 274 nt
Filed under: uncultured bacterium
Lineage: Bacteria
Description: partial 16S ribosomal RNA
Rfam family: Bacterial small subunit ribosomal RNA
Source: RNAcentral